RNAcentral lists this ribosomal RNA (872 nucleotides) under uncultured bacterium. RNAcentral describes it as "bacterial SSU rRNA". It matches the Rfam family "Bacterial small subunit ribosomal RNA", at positions 51 to 919 of the family's 1533-position model. The record is from RNAcentral.
ACACAUGCAAGUCGAGCGGGGAAGGGUAGCUUGCUACCUGACCUAGCGGCGGACGGGUGAGUAAUGCUUAGGAAUCUGCCUAUUAGUGGGGGACAACAUUCCGAAAGGAAUGCUAAUACCGCAUACGCCCUACGGGGGAAAGCAGGGGAUCUUCGGACCUUGCGCUAAUAGAUGAGCCUAAGUCAGAUUAGCUAGUUGGUGGGGUAAAGGCCUACCAAGGCGACGAUCUGUAGCGGGUCUGAGAGGAUGAUCCGCCACACUGGGACUGAGACACGGCCCAGACUCCUACGGGAGGCAGCAGUGGGGAAUAUUGGACAAUGGGCGAAAGCCUGAUCCAGCCAUGCCGCGUGUGUGAAGAAGGCCUUUUGGUUGUAAAGCACUUUAAGCGAGGAGGAGGCUACUUGGAUUAAUACUCUAGGAUAGUGGACGUUACUCGCAGAAUAAGCACCGGCUAACUCUGUGCCAGCAGCCGCGGUAAUACAGAGGGUGCGAGCGUUAAUCGGAUUUACUGGGCGUAAAGCGUGCGUAGGCGGCUUUUUAAGUCGGAUGUGAAAUCCCUGAGCUUAACUUAGGAAUUGCAUUCGAUACUGGGAAGCUAGAGUAUGGGAGAGGAUGGUAGAAUUCCAGGUGUAGCGGUGAAAUGCGUAGAGAUCUGGAGGAAUACCGAUGGCGAAGGCAGCCAUCUGGCCUAAUACUGACGCUGAGGUACGAAAGCAUGGGGAGCAAACAGGAUUAGAUACCCUGGUAGUCCAUGCCGUAAACGAUGUCUACUAGCCGUUGGGGCCUUUGAGGCUUUAGUGCGCAGCUAACGCGAUAAGUAGACCGCCUGGGGAGUACGGUCGCAAGACUAAACUCAAAUGAAUUGACGGGGG